RNAcentral lists this ribosomal RNA (403 nucleotides) under uncultured bacterium. RNAcentral's name for it is "bacterial SSU rRNA". It matches the Rfam family "Bacterial small subunit ribosomal RNA", at positions 32 to 426 of the family's 1533-position model. The record is from RNAcentral.
AAUCAACGCUGGCGGCGUGCCUCAGACAUGCAAGUCGAACGAUUAAACUUUCCUUCGGGAAGAUAUAGAGUGGCGCACGGGUGAGUAACACGUAAGUAAUCUACCCUUGGGUGGGGAAUAACAUCGGGAAACCGAUGCUAAUACCGCAUAAUGCAGCGGCUUCUUAUGAAGACAGUUGUUAAAGCAUUUAUGUGCCUGAGGAGGAGCUUGCGGCAGAUUAGCUAGUUGGUAAGGUAAUGGCCUACCAAGGCGACGAUCUGUAGCCGACCUGAGAGGGUGGUCGGUCACACUGACACUGAAUAACGGGUCAGACUCCUACGGGAGGCAGCAGUCGGGAAUUUUGGGCAAUGGGCGCAAGCCUGACCCAGCAACGCCGCGUGAAGGAUGAAGUAUUUCGGUAUGU